Molecule: ribosomal RNA, 451 nt
Filed under: uncultured Desulfobulbus sp.
Lineage: Bacteria; Pseudomonadati; Thermodesulfobacteriota; Desulfobulbia; Desulfobulbales; Desulfobulbaceae
Description: bacterial SSU rRNA
Rfam family: Bacterial small subunit ribosomal RNA
Source: RNAcentral
AGUAUGUGGUUUAAUUCGAUGCAACGCGAAGAACCUUACCUGGUCUUGACAUCCCGGAGACCCUUAGGAAACUAGGGGGUGCUUCCAUCUGGAAGAAUCUGGAGACAGGUGCUGCAUGGCUGUCGUCAGCUCGUGUCGUGAGAUGUUGGGUUAAGUCCCGCAACGAGCGCAACCCUUGCCUUAGUUGCCAGCAGUUCGGCUGGGCACUCUAAAGGGACUGCCGGUGUUAAACCGGAGGAAGUGGGGAUGACGUCAAGUCCUCAUGGCCUUUAUGACCAGGGCUACACACGUACUACAAUGGCCGAUACAAAGGGCAGCGACACUGCGAAGUGAAGCCAAUCCCGUAAAAUCGGUCUCAGUCCGGAUUGGAGUCUGCAACUCGACUCCAUGAAGUUGGAAUCGCUAGUAAUCGCGCAUCAGCCAUGGCGCGGUGAAUACGUUCCCGGGCCUU